AAAUGAAUUGACGGGGCCCCGCACAAGCAGUGGAGUAUGUGGUUUAAUUCGACGCAACGCGAAGAACCUUACCAGGUCUUGACAUCCGAUGACCGCCUAAGAGAUUAGGUUUUCCUUUCGGGGACAUCGAGACAGGUGGUGCAUGGUUGUCGUCAGCUCGUGUCGUGAGAUGUUGGGUUAAGUCCCGCAACGAGCGCAACCCUUAUCGUCAGUUACUACGCAAGAGGACUCUGGCGAGACUGCCGUUGACAAAACGGAGGAAGGUGGGGAUGACGUCAAAUCAUCAUGCCCUUUAUGACCUGGGCUACACACGUACUACAAUGGCGCUUAACAAAGAGCAGCGAUAUCGCGAGAUGGAGCGAAUCUCAAAAACAGCGUCUCAGUUCGGACUGCAGGCUGCAACUCGCCUGCACGAAGCCGGAAUUGCUAGUAAUCGCAGAUCAGCAUGCUGCGGUGAAUACGUUCCCGGGGCUUGUACACACCGCCCGU
This 489-nucleotide ribosomal RNA is filed under the name uncultured bacterium. RNAcentral describes it as "bacterial SSU rRNA". It matches the Rfam family "Bacterial small subunit ribosomal RNA", at positions 903 to 1397 of the family's 1533-position model. The record is from RNAcentral.